GGCGGGGACUCUAGCAAGACUGCCGGUGCAAACCGUGAGGAAGGUGGGGAUGACGUCAAAUCAUCACGGCCCUUACGUCCUGGGCUACACACGUGCUACAAUGGCAAGUACAGAAAGCAGCUACCUGGCAACAGGAUGCGAAUCUCCAAAGCUUGUCUCAGUUCGGAUUGGAGUCUGCAACUCGACUCUAUGAAGCUGGAAUCGCUAGUAAUCGGAUAUCAGCCAUGAUCCGGUGAAUACGUUCCCGGGCCUUGUACACACCGCCCGUCAAGCCAUGGAAGCUGGGGGUACCUGAAGUCGGUGACCGCAAGGAGCUGCCUAGGGUAAAACUAGUAACUAGGGCUAAGUCGUAACAAGGUAGCCGUACCGGAAGGUGCGGCUGGAACACCUCCUUU
Molecule: ribosomal RNA, 395 nt
Filed under: Myroides odoratimimus
Lineage: Bacteria; Pseudomonadati; Bacteroidota; Flavobacteriia; Flavobacteriales; Flavobacteriaceae
Description: bacterial SSU rRNA
Rfam family: Bacterial small subunit ribosomal RNA
Source: RNAcentral